Molecule: long non-coding RNA, 720 nt
Organism: Octopus sinensis (East Asian common octopus)
Lineage: Eukaryota; Metazoa; Mollusca; Cephalopoda; Octopoda; Octopodidae
Exons: 2
Source: RefSeq, a predicted model, not a curated record
UUUUACCAUUUAUAGAUAUAGAAAUGAAUCAAUUUCAAAAAAUUUUUUCUAAUAUUUCAGGUAAUAUAUUUUUAAAUUCAUACUAACAUUGAAGAUCCAGUCUAAAUCAACAAGACAUUCUGGGAAAUUUUAUAAUAAUUGUUUUUUUUUUAACUGGUUGACUCCAUGUAUUUAACUGAUCAUGUUACAUGUAACUGGUUCCUUUUAUAGAAACCAAGUACAGGCCACCUUUUCUGAAAAUCAAAUCACAUGAGAUAUGGCUUGUCAUCUUGCAGUCACAGAUUCAGCUUAUUGAGAUCUUGCUGCUGCUCUAAGUCAUAGGCUGUCAUUUAGCAAAUGGCCAUAAGUUUUAUUUUGUUGAAGUUGCUAACGACUUAUGAGAUAGUGUUAAAUUAACAAUUGUGUUUUAGUGAGACAGGCUUAGUGUAGACUUUCAGUUUGCCUGCUUGAGAAGAGUUGACAGUUGUUAUGAAGGCUAAUUAUCUAGGUGCUCUAGACAAAGACCUCAGUGGAUUUUAUUGCUGAAGUAACAGUGCUUUGUUAUUUAAAGAAUUAUUGUUUUCAAGCAUAAUGUUAGGUAACAUGUAUUAAAAGUUAAAAUUAGUGUGAGUGUAGAUAUAAUUAUGAAAAUAUCUUCAAUCUAAUGAAAGGUUUUUUUUACAAAAAAAAAAGUUGUUUUCCUAGAGCUAUAGUGAAGUGGGUUAGGAUUUAGUUUCUUCA